This 253-nucleotide ribosomal RNA is filed under the name uncultured bacterium. RNAcentral's name for it is "partial 16S ribosomal RNA". It matches the Rfam family "Bacterial small subunit ribosomal RNA", at positions 524 to 776 of the family's 1533-position model. The record is from RNAcentral.
UACGAAGGGGGCUAGCGUUGCUCGGAAUCACUGGGCGUAAAGCGCACGUAGGCGGACUCUUAAGUCGGUGGUGAAAUCCUGGAGCUCAACUCCAGAACUGCCUUCGAUACUGAGAGUCUCGAGUCCGGGAGAGGCGAGUGGAACUGCGAGUGUAGAGGUGAAAUUCGUAGAUAUUCGCAAGAACACCAGUGGCGAAGGCGGCUCACUGGCCCGGUACUGACGCUGAGGUGCGAAAGCGUGGGGAGCAAACAGG